AUAGACAUGUAUUUUCAAACAGUUAGAUUUUUUGUUCUGAAUUCUUAUACUGCAAAUAUUCAUUUAAAAAAAAAAUCAGAUUCAAGUUUUCCAGAUGAAGAAAUUCGGAACUUCAAAUUCAGUUUUCUAAAAUUCAAUGUCAAAAAUUCAAACUCAAAAAUUCAGAUCUAACAGAAAGUAGGUCACAGGUCAUCCACAGGGAAGAGUAGAUGAUCUCAGAAAAGUUUUCCAGCGCGAACGUGGUGGUUGUUCAAGAGGUUGACUCUGACUCUGAUCAUGAAUCGCCCGGGGGUAAGUGUUAGAUUAGCUUUCUCAGCACGAGAGACAUUUUGUCUAAGCGAUCUCUGGUGUUUGUUUUGAAGUAUAUUUUAUAUAAAAUUGAUUAGAACGCGACCGUGUGUACUAGGCCUAAGUUACACAGACAGGACGCGAGCGGCACGACGCAACUCGGUGCUUGAAGCGACUGUUGCAAAGAGCUGGGACUAGGUCAGAAAUAGGAGGGGAAUCCGUGUGCGGUUGGGGAUUUCACGGGUCGCGUCGCACCGUUCGCGUCCGGUGUUGUGUAAUAUUCGGUUCCCGUGAAAAACUGUUCCCGUGGGUGGAGUUUACAUGAACAUGCAUUAGUUCCCUGAUCAGUGCACGCUUCUCAAAUCGCUACUUGGAUUAUUUUGAAAAGACUGGAUGAGAGAGCUGAAGUCACUGGUACAGUAGCUGAUCAUUGUAUGAACUGGACAUACAUGGAGGCUGUUCUCAACGAGAGACAAUAAAUAUCUCAGACACUCACCUCAUUUUGCAUUACUUCAUUCCAUGCUUACUUUCACACAACUUUCCUUGUCUUUUCUAUUUGAGUUAUAUUAAUAAAGCAAUUACUUCUGUACUUGUCAUAGUAACAUUUAAUGAAUGUAAUAUUUGUGAUCUACAGUAUUGUUUUUUGAGUAUAAUUUUAAACAGUAAACAUACUUAAAGAUAACAUUUUAUUUGUUAACCUGCACGCCAUGUUACUAUUAAUACACAUCAGAGAACUGUCAACAUUGUUGUUUAAUUAUUGAAAUAUUAACUUUAAGGAAUCUCAGAGGAUAUUAAUUUCGGUAAGCGACAGGAGAACAGAGUUUGGCUGACAAAGAAACAUUCGGGUUUCAUUGUAUGUAAUAGUUGUAAAAUGUGAAAAACAAUUUUGAAUAAGAUUUUCAAAUGUUAAAUAUUAUUUACACAAUGGAUCACUAUUCACUAUUCUUAAACAUGACAUGAUGAGGUUGUUGUUCAGUGCCUAUGGUCAAAGAACAGACACAAUGUAUGCUUAUGAUAUUAAUUAUUAUUAUAUUUAUUAUUAGUAGUUCUUUCUCAGAUUGUCUAAACCGUUAAGCUCUGUAUUUGACUUAACUCAAUGCAAUAAAGAAAAAUGUGUCCAUUUUAAAAA
Long non-coding RNA from Carassius gibelio (silver crucian carp), 1417 nucleotides. RefSeq lists it as uncharacterized. The transcript is spliced from 2 exons. The record is from RefSeq and is a predicted model, not a curated record. NCBI's taxonomy places the organism in Eukaryota, Metazoa, Chordata, Actinopteri, Cypriniformes, Cyprinidae.